Non-coding RNA from Paramormyrops kingsleyae, 2245 nucleotides. The record is from RefSeq and is a predicted model, not a curated record. Lineage: Eukaryota; Metazoa; Chordata; Actinopteri; Osteoglossiformes; Mormyridae.
AUCCUUAAAACACACAGAACAACGGGAGGACAAAAGAGGCAAACGGAGGGGGGUGAGAGAGAAUGAAGGAGCCGCGGACAUCACUGAUGAAAACGCGGGCAUGAUGAGAUGAGAGGUGAGCGGACUGCAGGCUCCCAGCCACGGCGGAACGACAGGGGCCGGAUCAGCAGCACGGCGGCGAUGCGUUGAAGCGAAACUGACCGCUGCGGUUCCUGGAGCAUCUUUCACCAUGCUGGGGAAGGACUAUAUGCUGGCCAUCAUCAUCGUCAACUAUAACGAUAACAUCUGGAAUGAUCAGGACCUUGAUCUGGACUCGGACUUGCCCCCUGGCUGGCGUACCAUCCGGGACAGCACUGGCACAUACUACUGGCACGUACCCACCGGCGCCACACAGUGGCAUCACCCGUCACAUGACGCCGAGGGUGACCCAAGUUCCGCCCUCACGGGCGCCAGUAAACGCAGGAGAUUCAGCGCCAGCACUGAACAAGGUUCUGAAAUAAGGGGUACGAUGAGCCCAACGUCGACCCUGCGUGACAGGGGAAGCCUGCCUUGGCACGAGGAUCAUUUUUAUACCAACAACGAUCCUGACUCUAAGUGUUUUGCUGUGCGCUCCCUGGGCUGGGUGGAGAUCCCCGAGGAGGACCUGGCUCCUGGCAAGAGCAGCAUCGCCGUCAACAACUGCAUCCAGCAGCUAUCCUACAGCAAGUGUGAGGGCAGGGACGCUGCGGGGGCAUGGGGGGAGGGUCAGGACAUGGUCAUGGUGCUGAAAAAAGACACCCUGAGCCUGGUGGACCCAGCGGACCACAGCCUGAUCCACUGCCAGCCCAUCGUCAGCAUCCGCGUGUGGGGUGUGGGCUGCAACAAGGGGAGAGACAGGGACUUUGCCUUCGUAGCCAGCGACAAAGACACAUGCAUGCUAAAGUGCCACGUGUUUCGCUGCAACGUCCCGGCCAAAGCCAUCACGGUGGCUCUGCACGACAUGUGCUCCAAGAUCAUGUCAGAGAAAGCCAAGAUGCAGCCGCCCAUGCCGCGCUCUGUCACCAUGGAGAGCAUCUCCCCCGAGGAUCUGCCCAGACACGUCGACUUCCUGGAUGCAGUGAGGCAAAGGGAGCAGAUGUUUCCAGUGGAGUAUAUCGGUCAAAUGGCCGUUCCGCAGGCCAUGGGUAUGGAGGUGCUGAACAGGGCAAUCGAGAACGUCAUGAACAUGACGGACAGGGAUGAGUGGGAGCCCACGGUUCUCCGCGUUUCGGACGCCGUGCUGUCCCUCUGGAGAGGAGAGGAUGGAGAUGACCCACUCUGGGAGUCUCAGGUGCGCUACCUGACCUUCCUGGGCGUGGGCCACGACAGGCACACCUUUGCGGUGAUCGUGGACGGCGGGACACAGCGAUUCCAGUGUCAUGUCUUCUGGUGCGAGCCCGACGCCGGGUUUAUCUCGGAGGCGGUGCAGGCGGCUUGCAUGGUAUGCUCACUACUGGACCGCAAAGCGGACGACCACGGUCCAGAGACCCCGGCUACUGCACGUGCCCAGCAGGCCUCAUAGAGGAUCUGCUGGAUAGCGCAUCUAAACACCCACAAUGAGUGCUUCAUGAAUAACGCAAGACAUUCGUAUUAUAAUGUACCUUAUUCACCACUAUGGUCAGUCCUGCUACGCGACCGAUGUGUUCCUGAAAAACCUCUCGUUCACUAAAAUCUCGUACUAAAAUAUCCAACAGGAGAAAUAGGGUUAGAAGGAUGUGACCGGUAAAACUUAGUAACUUAAGCCAAACGGAAUUAAUUAAAUAAUAAAAACAGUGAUACCAGUGGCCAAUAAUGUAAUUAUAUGCAUUUUUAUGAGUCUCAUGAGAAUUGCCUGGAAACCGCUUCAACUGAACUUGCUGAACUCGCUAACUUGCCGAUUGUCGAGAGUUGGGAGUAGCAAUGGCCGAAACGUGGGGUCAGAAAAUACGGCAAAUGGUUCAUGAAGCGUUGUUUCGUCAUCGUUAGUCGGGAGCAGUGAGCCACAGUCGCCGUGCGGCCGGGCUUCGCGUGCGCACAGCACAGAUAUAACGGAUUACGGUAUGUGGGGGCGCAGAAGGCAACGUAGCUACAGCCUCUCUACAAAAACAAAUGUCCAGUAUCAAAAAUGUCUGGUGGCCCAAACCCCGCCGCUCAAGUCGAAAAUGUGGCGGUCCGGCAGCAAGGUGAAACGGACCAGCUCCGUAGACAGCACCUCCCUCCUACCCCCCCACAGCGGACUCUCACCCCC